UACGUAGGUGGCAAGCGUUGUCCGGAAUUACUGGGCGUAAAGGGCUCGUAGGCGGCCAACUAAGUCAGACGUGAAAUCCCUCAGCUUAACUGGGGAACUGCGUCUGAUACUGGAUGGCUUGGAUUUGGGAGAGGAAUGCGGAAUUCCAGGUGUAGCGGUGAAAUGCGUAGAUAUCUGGAGGAACACCGGUGGCGAAGGCGGCAUUCUGGACCAAUAUUGACGCUGAGGAGCGAAAGCCAGGGGAGCAAACGGG
RNAcentral lists this ribosomal RNA (253 nucleotides) under uncultured bacterium. Its description in RNAcentral is "partial 16S ribosomal RNA". It matches the Rfam family "Bacterial small subunit ribosomal RNA", at positions 524 to 776 of the family's 1533-position model. The record is from RNAcentral.